RNAcentral lists this ribosomal RNA (498 nucleotides) under uncultured bacterium. Its description in RNAcentral is "partial 16S ribosomal RNA". It matches the Rfam family "Bacterial small subunit ribosomal RNA", at positions 29 to 523 of the family's 1533-position model. The record is from RNAcentral.
AUUGAACGCUGGCGGCAUGCUUUACACAUGCAAGUCGAACGGUAACAGGCCGCAAGGUGCUGACGAGUGGCGAACGGGUGAGUAAUGCAUCGGAACGUGCCCAGUCGUGGGGGAUAACGCAGCGAAAGCUGUGCUAAUACCGCAUACGAUCUAUGGAUGAAAGCGGGGGACCGUAAGGCCUCGCGCGAUUGGAGCGGCCGAUGUCAGAUUAGCUAGUUGGGGGGGUAAAGGCCCACCAAGGCGACGAUCUGUAGCUGGUCUGAGAGGCCGAGCAGCCACACUGGGACUGAGACACGGGCCAGGAUCCUACAGGAGGCAGCAGUGGGGAAUUUUGGACAAUGGGCGCAAGCCUGAUCCAGCAAUGCCGCGUGCAGGAAGAAGGCCUUCUGGUUGUAAACUGCUUUUGUACGGAACGAAAAGGACUGCCCUAAUACGGUGGUCCCAUGACGGUACCGUAAGAAUAAGCACCGGCUAACUACGUGCCAGCCGCCGCCGUAA